CCAACCUGUUCCUCGAGUAGUAGCAUCUUUGUCAUCAGACAAUCUUUAGGAAAGAGUUCCCCAACAUGCAGUUUCUCAAACAUCAAAAAUAAGGACUUAAUGUAUCACUUAAGUAUAGAGAUCACAGAUAUGACAAGUUGGUUCUAUGUUACUGACAAACACUCCAGAAGGGAGGAACUUCAAGGAGUCCAGUUCGAAACAUUUCUUGAAGCAGCAGAAUGAAAAAAAUUACGGUUG
Molecule: long non-coding RNA, 237 nt
Filed under: Capsicum annuum
Lineage: Eukaryota; Viridiplantae; Streptophyta; Magnoliopsida; Solanales; Solanaceae
Description: long non-coding RNA (CANN_LNC021050)
Source: RNAcentral